This is a long non-coding RNA of Hemicordylus capensis (graceful crag lizard), 1318 nucleotides long. RefSeq lists it as uncharacterized. The transcript has 2 exons. NCBI's taxonomy places the organism in Eukaryota, Metazoa, Chordata, Lepidosauria, Squamata, Cordylidae. The record is from RefSeq and is a predicted model, not a curated record.
CUGGUGCUAAACGUAUUAUCUCAUUUCCUGUGCGUCCCUUGGGCUUAUCCCAUACUUCCUGGCCCACCCCAGUUCACUCCGUUCUUUCAGGCAGCUCUAAUGAAACCCAGUUUCCAAGUUCUUGUACGCACCUAUAAGGUAAUGAAUUGUCAUGAUAUUUGCCCUUUUUCUCAGGUCCGGACUGGCUUCGCUGACGGAGACCUGUACCAUACCCUGACGUUUUUUUUAAAAAGCAGCCAUGGCCAAACUAGAUGAGAUGACGCAGCCAACCACCAAUCAGAUCUGAUAAUUCAGUGGUCAACAUUAUCUAUCAAAGAAGAAUGGUUCAGUGGGUGAUCUAAAUCAGUCUGGUGCAAACUCUUCUCCUCGCCCACCAUCCCACACACAAUUCUGAACUGGACCAGUGGUGGUCAGGAUUUUGUGACAACUAGUAGCUGCAUCACUAGUAGCUGCCCUUUAAUGAUUGGCAGCAAAGGGAAGGCUAGCAGAGGAGGCUAAAGCAAACAUAUUUUCCUUCCUGGCAGCACACUUGCCUCACACAACCUUUGACCUGUCACUGAUUCCUGCAGGAUUCUUGCACAGUACAAGAAUGUGCCAACGCCACAGGGCUCAUGUGGUUCUCAUCAGCUUUCCAAGGCUCAGUGGGUGGGAGUGCUGCUCUCCCACAUACAGCUAUUUGGAUGUCUCAGUGGCCCUGAAUGUAGCUGUAAGCCAGCUUUGCUCAUCUUCCUGCGUUGGUGGAGUUUACAGCAGGUCAGACAAGGAGUCUCCAUUCCAGCAUCCUCACAUGGUAACCAAGGACACUUGCUCAUUCUUCCGCACAGUUGCCCUGAUUUUCUUCUCCCCCUGCCAAGGAGGUCUUAAAUUUCAGCUUUGAUAUCUUCUUCUUCUGUUUUUCAAAUAUCCACCCCUCUUUAGUGGUCUGACCGACCCCACUCCCACGAGGAUGACCCCAUUGGCAUGGCGGGUCUGACUUCAAAAAGCAAGCUUUUCUUCUCGCCAUAGUUUGUCCCAGUUAAUGUGCUCCUCCUGGGACACAGCAGUUCAUUAUUUAUGCCACCCACAAACUCCUUGGGGAGUUUCAGUUUCACUUUAGCUGCUACUCCAAAUACAUUGUGGCUUUGAUUCGUGCUCCCACAGGCUGCAUUUCAGAUCUGACGGCGGGGGAGCAAAAACAAAACCUAGGGGCAAAUGCACUUGCUGAUCCUUCUCUGAAGCUACCUGAGGAGUUUUUAAUAACCAUUUCAUCUGUAGUCAGGGCAUGUAUUAAAAAAAACAACAAGCAGCCUAAUAAAACACCAUACAUCUUUGUCUGAAA